RNAcentral lists this ribosomal RNA (684 nucleotides) under bacterium IMCC11744. RNAcentral's name for it is "bacterial SSU rRNA". It matches the Rfam family "Bacterial small subunit ribosomal RNA", at positions 28 to 758 of the family's 1533-position model. The record is from RNAcentral.
AACGUACGCUGGCGGCACGCCUAACACAUGCAAGUCGAUCGAAGUAGCAAUACUUAGUGGCAGACGGGUGAGUAACAUGUAGGUAUCUGCCCUUUGGCCUGGAAUAACACGAGGAAACUUGUGCUAAUACUGGAUAAGUCUUUACGGAGAAAGCUUUAUGCACCAUUGGAUGAGCCUGCACUUGAUUAGUUUGUUGGUGGGGUAAUGGCCUACCAAGACUGUGAUCAAUAGCUGAUUUGAGAGGAUGAUCAGCCACAUUGGGACUGAGACACGGCCCAAACUCCUACGGGAGGCAGCAGUGGGGAAUCUUGCACAAUGGAGGAAACUCUGAUGCAGCGAUGCCGCGUGAGUGAAGAAGGCCUUUGGGUUGUAAAGCUCUUUCGUCGGGGAAGAAAAUGACUGUACCCGAAUAAGAAGGUCCGGCUAACUUCGUGCCAGCAGCCGCGGUAAUACGAAGGGACCUAGCGUAGUUCGGAAUUACUGGGCUUAAAGAGUUCGUAGGUGGUUGAAAAAGUUAGUGGUGAAAUCCCAGAGCUUAACUCUGGAACUGCCAUUAAAACUUUUCAGCUAGAGUAUGAUAGAGGAAAGCAGAAUUUCUAGUGUAGAGGUGAAAUUCGUAGAUAUUAGAAAGAAUACCAAUUGCGAAGGCAGCUUUCUGGAUCAUUACUGACACUGAGAACGAAA